CGGAGAGACCCGGCCCUGUCUUCGUCUUCUCUCACCCCCCUCCCACCCCACCCCGCCCCGGGGCCGAGUCCCCUCGGGCUUCCCUCCCCACCCGCCCGGGCGGGCCUCGCGGGGCUCCGCGGCUUUUGCGCUGCGCUCGCUCGCUCGCUCGCUCCUCUCCCCCCCGCCCCGCCGGCUCAGGCUCCGGGCUGGCGGCGGCGGCGGAGGAGGAGGAGGCGGCGGCGGCGGCCGAGGCGCCGGCGGCUCAGCUGCUCCCGGCUCUGUAAGCUCGGGACCCGGCUCUCCCGGCUCAUUCCCCCCCAAGCCCUUGCCUGGGAAUGAGGGGGGCGGUGGAGGCUCCGCUCCCCAGGGCCUGGCCCCGCUGUGACUCUCCGCUUUCUGCUGCCGGAGAAAGGAGGGAGGGAGGGAGGGAGGGGAGGGAGGGAGGCGAGGGGGAGGGGGCGGGGAGGGAGGGAGCGGGGGGAGGGGGACCCGGGACGGGCGGGCUGGAGGGCGCGCGGCAGCAGCCCGGGCGCCGGCAGGCAGAGUCGGAGCGUGGGCCGGGCCGGGCGCCCUGCCUCCCCUCCCCGGCCGCGGCGCCGGGCCGAGGCUACUGCGCGGCGGCGGGCGGGCGAGCGGGCGGGCGGCCGGACUGAGCGGCUAGAGCGCCCCACUCUCCUCCGAGUCCCCCUCACUCCGACACGAGGCUCAGCACUGCCAUUUUACCCAGAGCCGUCGCGGCCGCCUGGCAAACCCGGAACGGAGCGCGGAGCGGGGCGCAGGCCGUGGAAUGGACUCGCUCCCUUCCCCUCACAAAGGAGGAGGGGAGAGAACCAGCCGCGGCGGCGGCGGCGGCGGCGGCAGGCGCUCUGCCGCUCUCGCUCGGCAGCGCCGCCGCCGAAGGCUUCGGGGAAAACCCGGCCCGGAGCUCGCGCCUCUCCGGAGCCUGCGCGCCGCCUCCCUCCUGGCCUCCCUAUCCAGCCAAGAACCAAACCAGCCUACCAGGAUCUGACUGACUGGAAUGGACCAGUGCCCUCCUUUCAUUCACAGUCCUCAGGGGCAACAACUCUCCUGGUGCAUCAGGUCCUAGAAACCAAAUUAUAGGCUGCCUCAGAAAUGGAGCUUGGCUAUUUAAUCAACUGCCUCUGAGCUGGCAAACAGUCCUGAGUCCUGCACACAAAUGAAGAAUUUUUUACAUGCAAUUACCCUGCCAUUUCCCUCAGAGCUGGAGUGUAAGGAGAAACCUGGAGCCCAGUGAAAAUCUGGAAGCCAGAAUGAAUUUGUCUCCAGAGAAAGCCCUCAUCCCCCUUCUUCAAUGGUUGUGAAAUUUGGAAAAUGCCAAAAUCCCUUUCUGACACGUGGGCAUGCUGUUUUGAAAACAGCCACCAUCUUUAUCUAGCAAUAAAGUGCACAAAAAUCUAUCCA
Bos indicus x Bos taurus (hybrid cattle) is the source of this 1404-nucleotide long non-coding RNA. Lineage: Eukaryota; Metazoa; Chordata; Mammalia; Artiodactyla; Bovidae. The record is from Ensembl.